RNAcentral lists this ribosomal RNA (830 nucleotides) under uncultured organism. Its description in RNAcentral is "bacterial SSU rRNA". It matches the Rfam family "Bacterial small subunit ribosomal RNA", at positions 19 to 849 of the family's 1533-position model. The record is from RNAcentral.
CUGGCUCAGGAUGAUGCUAGCGGCGUGCUAACACAUGCAAGUCGAGGGGUAACGAUGGUGCUUGCACAAGUCGACGACCGGCGCACGGGUGAGUAACGCGUAUGCAAUCUACCUUUAACUGGAGGAUAGCCCGAAGAAAUUCGGAUUAAUACUCCAUAGAAUUACAAUAUCGCCUGAUAUUGUACUUAAAGCAUUAGCGGUUAAAGAUGAGCAUGCGUGCCAUUAGUUAGUUGGUGAGGUAACGGCUCACCAAGGCAUCGAUGGCUAGGGGUUCUGAGAGGAUGAUCCCCCACACUGGUACUGAGACACGGACCAGACUCCUACGGGAGGCAGCAGUGAGGAAUAUUGGUCAAUGGGCGCAAGCCUGAACCAGCCAUGCCGCGUGCAGGAAGACUGCCCUAUGGGUUGUAAACUGCUUUUCUACAGGAAGAAACUUUGCGACGAGUCGUGAAUUGCCGGUACUGUAGGAAUAAGCAUCGGCUAACUCCGUGCCAGCAGCCGCGGUAAUACGGAGGAUGCAAGCGUUAUCCGGAUUCAUUGGGUUUAAAGGGUGCGUAGGCGGAAUAGUAAGUCAGUGGUGAAAGGCUGCAGCUUAACUGUAGAAUUGCCAUUGAUACUGUUAUUCUUGAGUGUAGUUGAGGUAGGCGGAAUGUGUAAUGUAGCGGUGAAAUGCUUAGAUAUUACACAGAACACCGAUUGCGUAGGCAGCUUACUAAACUAUAACUGACGCUGAGGCACGAAAGCGUGGGGAGCGACCAGGAUUAGAUACCCUGGUAGUCCACGCUGUAAACGAUGAUCACUCGUUGUUGGCAAUACAUCGUCAGCGACUG